RNAcentral lists this ribosomal RNA (497 nucleotides) under uncultured bacterium. RNAcentral's name for it is "partial 16S ribosomal RNA". It matches the Rfam family "Bacterial small subunit ribosomal RNA", at positions 28 to 507 of the family's 1533-position model. The record is from RNAcentral.
GAUGAACGCUGGCGGCGUGCCUAAUACAUGCAAGUCGAGCGAACAGACGAGGAGCUUGCUCCUCUGACGUUAGCGGCGGACGGGUGAGUAACACGUGGAUAACCUACCUAUAAGACUGGGAUAACUUCGGGGAACCGGAGCUAAUACCGGAUAAUAUAUUGAACCGCAUGGUUCAAUAGUGAAAGACGGUUUUGCUGUCACUUAUAGAUGGAUCCGCGCCGCAUUAGCUAGUUGGUAAGGUAACGGCUUACCAAGGCAACGAUGCGUAGCCGGCCUGAGAGGGUGAUCGGCCACACUGGAACUGAGACACGGUCCAGACUCCUACGGGAGGCAGCAGUAGGGAAUCUUCCGCAAUGGGCGAAAGCCUGACGGAGCAACGCCGCGUGAGUGAUGAAGGUCUUCGGAUCGUAAAACUCUGUUAUUAGGGAAGAACAAAUGUGUAAGUAACUAUGCACGUCUUGACGGUACCUAAUCAGAAAGCCACGGCUAACUACGUG